Molecule: ribosomal RNA, 215 nt
Filed under: Glomeromycotina sp.
Lineage: Eukaryota; Fungi; Glomeromycota
Description: partial small subunit ribosomal RNA
Rfam family: Eukaryotic small subunit ribosomal RNA (bases 39-215)
Source: RNAcentral
GGGUCAGUAGGUUGGUCGUGCCCCGGUACGUACUGGUCUCACUGAUUCCUCCUUCCUGAAGAACCGUAAUGCCAUUAAUUUGGUGUUGCGGGGAAACAGGACUGUUACUUUGAAAAAAUUAGAGUGUUUAAAGCAAGCUAACGCUUGAAUACAUUAGCAUGGAAUAAUGAAAUAGGACGAUCGAUCCUAUUUUGUUGGUUUCUAGGAUUGACGUA